Molecule: ribosomal RNA, 253 nt
Filed under: uncultured bacterium
Lineage: Bacteria
Description: partial 16S ribosomal RNA
Rfam family: Bacterial small subunit ribosomal RNA
Source: RNAcentral
UACGUAGGGUGCAGGCGUUGAUCGGAAUUACUGGGCGUAAAGCGUGCGCAGGCGGUCUUUUGAGUCAGAUGUGAAAUCCCCGGGCUUAACCUGGGAACUGCGUUUGAAACUGGAAGGCUAGAGUGUGGCAGAGGGGGGUGGAAUUCCACGUGUAGCAGUGAAAUGCGUAGAUAUGUGGAGGAACACCGAUGGCGAAGGCAGCCCCCUGGGCUAACACUGACGCUCAUGCACGAAAGCGUGGGGAGCAAACAGG